This 613-nucleotide ribosomal RNA is filed under the name Dujonia zeylanoides. RNAcentral describes it as "LSU rRNA". It matches the Rfam family "Eukaryotic large subunit ribosomal RNA", at positions 38 to 667 of the family's 3401-position model. The record is from RNAcentral. Lineage: Eukaryota; Fungi; Ascomycota; Pichiomycetes; Serinales; Debaryomycetaceae.
GCAUAUCAAUAAGCGGAGGAAAAGAAACCAACAGGGAUUGCCUCAGUAACGGCGAGUGAAGCGGCAAAAGCUCAAAUUUGAAAUCUAGCACUUUCAGUGUUCGAGUUGUAAUUUGAAGAAGGUAACUUUGGUUUUGGCUCUUGUCUAUGUUCCUUGGAACAGGACGUCACAGAGGGUGAGAAUCCCGUGCGAUGAGAUGCCCAAUUCCAUGUAAAGUGCUUUCGAAGAGUCGAGUUGUUUGGGAAUGCAGCUCUAAGUGGGUGGUAAAUUCCAUCUAAAGCUAAAUAUUGGCGAGAGACCGAUAGCGAACAAGUACAGUGAUGGAAAGAUGAAAAGAACUUUGAAAAGAGAGUGAAAAAGUACGUGAAAUUGUUGAAAGGGAAGGGCUUGAGAUCAGACUUGGUAUUUUGCGUUCCCUUCCUUUUUGGUUGGGUUCCUCGCAGUUUACUGGGCCAGCAUCGGUUUGGAUGGUAGGAUAAUGACAUUGGAAUGUAGCUUUACUUCGGUGAAGUGUUAUAGACUUUGUUGAUACUGCCUAUCUAGACCGAGGACUGCGUCUUUGACUAGGAUGCUGGCGUAAUGAUCUUAAGCCNCCCGUCUUGAAACACGGACC